Phodopus roborovskii (desert hamster) is the source of this 899-nucleotide long non-coding RNA. RefSeq lists it as uncharacterized. The transcript has 2 exons. The record is from RefSeq and is a predicted model, not a curated record. NCBI's taxonomy places the organism in Eukaryota, Metazoa, Chordata, Mammalia, Rodentia, Cricetidae.
CUGCAUCCCGCGCGCAGUGGGCGUUACUAACGGAAAACUCCUGACUCUAGGAGCUCAAAUACAGUGAUGCUUAGGGUAUUGUGGACGCUCUUGCCCGUUAUUGACUAAUCCCCUCGGACCCAGCACCUGGUGAUGGUGAAGGGACCGGGAUGUGAAUCUAGGUAGCUUGAGCUGUGGCUCUAGCUAAGAACCGCGCGAAGCGUGUUGGAGAAUGUUUUUCCAGCUUACCUCAGUUUAAAAAAAAAAAAAAAAAAAAAAAAAAAAAAAAAACAAAAAAAAAAAAAAAACUAUCCGGAGCGGACGCACAGAUUCGCUGACUUGACAGUCGAGUAAUAUCGAUCUGAAAAAAAAAAGACAGUUGGUGCAAGGUUAAUUUGAACCAAAUCUCCUAGGAGCCAAGACUAAAGGAUCAGAGCUCACCAAAGGAGAUUACAAUUCGGGGUACGAGUUCCUGAGAACCUGCUGUUAAUACGCCAGCGUAUUUAAUGUCACUUGGAACCUGCAAGUUAGGUACAUCCGAUCUUCUCCCCAAAUGAAGGACCGUGGCACAGGUACGCUUGGAUGCUGUGGAACUCACCACAUCGAACAGCCUGGCUUUGGACUCAUUGGCAGUUAUAUUGCCUCAGCUUCCAGAGUGCUGGGAUUAUAGGCAUGUGUCACCAUGCACAGCUCUGUUCUGUAUUUUGAGACAGGGUCUCACUUUCUAACCCUGCUGAGUUACAGCAGGAAGCUUCCUGCCCUGGCCUCCAGAGUGCUGGGCUUCAGGUGUAUAUAACCACACCCAAGUUACUUUCUGUAUCUUAGGAUGUUUUGGCAUUUCCCAAAGCUUGAAGGCUUGGAGACUUAAUGCUUUUAGGGUAGGUUAUUGUUUGGAGCCACAAAGCAAAACAAAACAAAAC